RNAcentral lists this ribosomal RNA (504 nucleotides) under uncultured bacterium. Its description in RNAcentral is "partial 16S ribosomal RNA". It matches the Rfam family "Bacterial small subunit ribosomal RNA", at positions 29 to 523 of the family's 1533-position model. The record is from RNAcentral.
AGUGAACGCUGGCGGCGUGGAUAAGGCAUGCAAGUCGAACGGUAGCACAGAGAGCUUGCUCUCGGGUGACGAGUGGCGGACGGGUGAGUAACGUCUGGGAAACUGCCCGAUGGAGGGGGAUAACUACUGGAAACGGUAGCUAAUACCGCAUAACGUCGCAAGACCAAAGUGGGGGACCUUCGGGCCUCACACCAUCGGAUGUGCCCAGAUGGGAUUAGCUAGUAGGUGGGGAAAUGGCUCACCUAGGCGACGAUCCCUAGCUGGUCUGAGAGGAUGACCAGCCACACGGGAACUGAGACACGGUCCAGACUCCUACGGGAGGCAGCAGUGGGGAAUAUUGCACAAUGGGCGCAAGCCUGGUGCAGCCAUGUCGCGUGUAUGAAGAAGGCCUUCGGGUUGUAAAGUACUUUCAGCGGGGAGGAAGGCGGUGAAGUUAAUAGCUUCACCGAUUGACGUUACCCGCAGAAGAAGCACCGGCUAACUCCGUGCCAGCCGCCGCAGUAA